UGACCUUUGACCUCAAAUCAGGUAGGGUUACCCGCUGAACUUAAGCAUAUCAAUAAGCGGAGGAAAAGAAACUAACAAGGAUUCCCCUAGUAACUGCGAGUGAAGCGGGAAAAGCUCAAAUUUAAAAUCUGGCGGUCUUUGGCCGUCCGAGUUGUAGUCUGGAGAAGUGCUUUCCGCGCUGGACCGUGUACAAGUCUCUUGGAACAGAGCGUCAUAGAGGGUGAGAAUCCCGUCUUUGACACGGACUACCAGUGCUUUGUGAUGCGCUCUCAAAGAGUCGAGUUGUUUGGGAAUGCAGCUCAAAAUGGGUGGUAAAUUCCAUCUAAAGCUAAAUAUUGGCGAGAGACCGAUAGCGAACAAGUNCCGUGAGGGAAAGAUGAAAAGCACUUUGGAAAGAGAGUUAAACAGUACGUGAAAUUGCUGAAAGGGAAACGCUUGAAGUCAGUCGCGUUGAUCAGGACUCAGCCUUGCUUUUGCUUGGUGCAUUUUCUGGUUGACGGGCCAGCAUCGAUUUUGAUCGCCGGAAAAAGGCUGGGGGAAUGUGGCACCUUCGGGUGUGUUAUAGCCUUCAGUCACAUACGGCGGUUGGGAUCGAGGACCGCAGCACGCCUUUAUGGCCGGGGUUNGCCCACGUUCGUGCUUAGGAUGCUGGCGUAAUGGCUUUAAACGACCCGUCUUGAAACACGGACCAAGGAGUCUAACAUGCCUGCGAGUGUUUGGGUGGUAAACCCGAGCGCGUAAUGAAAGUGAAAGUUGAGAUCCUUGUCAUGGGGAGCAUCGACGCCCGGACCUGAACUUCGGUGAUGGCUCUGCGGUAGAGCAUGUAUGUUGGGACCCGAAAGAUGGUGAACUAUGCCUGAAUAGGGUGAAGCCAGAGG
Molecule: ribosomal RNA, 878 nt
Filed under: Rhodofomes cajanderi
Lineage: Eukaryota; Fungi; Basidiomycota; Agaricomycetes; Polyporales; Fomitopsidaceae
Description: partial 28S ribosomal RNA
Rfam family: Eukaryotic large subunit ribosomal RNA
Source: RNAcentral